UUGCCCUAGUAACGGCGAGUGAAGCGGCAACAGCUCAAAUUUGAAAUCUGGCCCUAGCGGUCCGAGUUGUAAUUUGUAGAGGAUGCUUUUGGUUAGGUGCCUUCUGAGUUCCCUGGAACGGGACGCCAGAGAGGGUGAGAGCCCCGUACGGUUGGACACCGAGCCUCUAUAUAGCUCCUUCGACGAGUCGAGUAGUUUGGGAAUGCUGCUCUAAAUGGGAGGUAAAUUUCUUCUAAAGCUAAAUACCGGCCAGAGACCGAUAGCGCACAAGUAGAGUGAUCGAAAGAUGAAAAGUACUUUGAAAAGAGGGUUAAAUAGCACGUGAAAUUGUUGAAAGGGAAGCGUUUGCGACCAGACUUUUUCCAGGCGGAUCAUCCGGUGUUCUCACCGGUGCACUUCGCCUGGUUUAGGCCAGCAUCGGUUCCCUUAGGGGGAUAAAGGCCUGGGGAACGUAGCUCCUUCGGGAGUGUUAUAGCCCCUAGCGUAAUACCCUUCGGGGGACCGAGGAACGCGCAUCUGCAAGGAUGCUGGCGUAAUGGUCGUCAACGACCCG
Molecule: ribosomal RNA, 553 nt
Filed under: Daldinia sp. 11Bg22
Lineage: Eukaryota; Fungi; Ascomycota; Sordariomycetes; Xylariales; Hypoxylaceae
Description: eukaryotic LSU rRNA
Rfam family: Eukaryotic large subunit ribosomal RNA
Source: RNAcentral